GACGAACGCUGGCGGCGUGCUUAACACAUGCAAGUCGAACGGUGAAGGGACCGGUUUUUGCUGGUUCUGGAUGAGUGGCGAACGGGUGAGUAACACGUGAGUAACCUGCCCCCUUCUUCUGGAUAACCGCAUGAAAGUGUGGCUAAUACGGGAUAUUCUGCGCCUGCUGCAUGGUGGGUGUGGGAAAGAUAUUGUUUCGGUGGGGGAUGGGCUCGCGGCCUAUCAGCUUGUUGGUGGGGUGAUGGCCUACCAAGGCGGUGACGGGUAGCCGGCCUGAGAGGGUGGACGGUCACACUGGGACUGAGACACGGCCCAGACUCCUACGGGAGGCAGCAGGGGGGAAUAUUGCACAAUGGGCGCAAGCCUGAUGCAGCGACGCCGCGUGAGGGAUGGAGGCCUUCGGGUUGUAAACCUCUUUCGCCAGUGAAGCAGGCCUGUCCCUUUUGUGGGUGGGUUGACGGUAGCUGGAUAAGAAGCGCCGGCUAACUACGUG
This 493-nucleotide ribosomal RNA is filed under the name uncultured bacterium. RNAcentral's name for it is "partial 16S ribosomal RNA". It matches the Rfam family "Bacterial small subunit ribosomal RNA", at positions 28 to 507 of the family's 1533-position model. The record is from RNAcentral.